RNAcentral lists this ribosomal RNA (489 nucleotides) under uncultured bacterium. RNAcentral describes it as "bacterial SSU rRNA". It matches the Rfam family "Bacterial small subunit ribosomal RNA", at positions 28 to 507 of the family's 1533-position model. The record is from RNAcentral.
GAUGAACGCUAGCGGCAGGCCUAACACAUGCAAGUCGAGGGGUAACAUAGGAAAGCUUGCUUUUCUGAUGACGACCGGCGCACGGGUGCGUAACGCGUAUACAACCUACCUUUUAGCGGGGAAUAGCCCAGGGAAACUUGGAUUAAUGCCCCAUAGUAUAUAGACUUCUCCUGAAGUUUAUAUUAAACAUUUAUGGCUAUUAGAUGGGUAUGCGUCCUAUUAGUUAGUUGGUAAGGUAACGGCUUACCAAGGCAGCGAUAGGUAGGGGUCCUGAGAGGGAGAUCCCCACACUGGUACUGAGACACGGACCAGACUCCUACGGGAGGCAGCAGUGAGGAAUAUUGGACAAUGGGCGAGAGCCUGAUCCAGCCAUGCCGCGUGCAGGAAGACUGCCCUAUGGGUUGUAAACUGUCUUUUACAGAGGAAGAACCCACCCCCACGUGUGGGGGUUUGACGGUACUCUGCGAAUAAGGAUCGGCUAACUCCGUG